Molecule: ribosomal RNA, 213 nt
Filed under: uncultured bacterium
Lineage: Bacteria
Description: partial 16S ribosomal RNA
Rfam family: Bacterial small subunit ribosomal RNA
Source: RNAcentral
UCAGUUCGGACUGCAGGCUGCAACUCGCCUGCACGAAGCUGGAAUUGCUAGUAAUCGCGGAUCAGCAUGCCGCGGUGAAUACGUUCCCGGGCUUUGUACACACCGCCCGUCAAACCAUGAAAGUUGGGAACACCCGAAGUCCGUAGUCUAACCGCAAGGAGGACGCGGCCGAAGGUGGGUUCAAUGAUUGGGGUUAAGUCGUAACAAGGUAUC